AAGUUACACUCACCCAGAGUUGCUCUGCCGGUCAGAGGCAGAGCUGGGCCAAUGGGCAGUAUUCCUCUCUAAUAACGAAGGGCGUCAGGUCAAUAUUUUAGCACCUUUUGAGAGUAGUAAUUGGAUUACUCAGGCCACCAACAGGGAUGAAUUUCAAAUUGAUGAAACUUUGAUACAAUAUGAAGGGUCUUUUACCUUCCUACUUAUUCAGUAAAGGACCAAACUCUUACCCAGGAUCUACUGGAGCAGCUGUUGGAGCCCAUGACGCCUAUCGGGAUGCAAAAGAGAAGCGCUCUAAAAGCCAGGAUGCAGAUUCACCUGGAAGUUCUGGGGCCCCUGAAAACUUGACAUUCAAGGAACGCCAGCGUCUUUUUUCACAAGGUCAAGAUGUAUCCAAUAAAGUGAAAGCUUCUCGUAAAUUAA
This 423-nucleotide small RNA is filed under the name Pongo abelii (Sumatran orangutan). RNAcentral's name for it is "processed transcript". Lineage: Eukaryota; Metazoa; Chordata; Mammalia; Primates; Hominidae. The record is from RNAcentral.